RNAcentral lists this ribosomal RNA (1876 nucleotides) under Mastigocoleus testarum BC008. RNAcentral's name for it is "bacterial LSU rRNA". It matches the Rfam family "Bacterial large subunit ribosomal RNA", at positions 1 to 2016 of the family's 2925-position model. The record is from RNAcentral. Lineage: Bacteria; Bacillati; Cyanobacteriota; Cyanophyceae; Nostocales; Hapalosiphonaceae.
UCAAGCGUCAAAAGGGCAUCCGGGGGAUGUCUUGGCGGUAAGAGGCGAUGAAAGACGUGGCACUCUGCGAUAAGCACCGGGGAGGCGAGAGCACCCUUUGAUCCGGUGAUUUCUGAAUGGGGAAACCCACCUCCGAGAUGUUGGAUAAUUCGAGCGCUUUGGCGCUCGACGUGUCUAACAUUUCAAUAGUGAGGUAUUUUAACCUGAAUACAUAGGGUUAAAAAGCGAACCCGGGGAAUUGAAACAUCUAAGUACCCGGAGGAAAGGACAUCAAUUGAGACUCCGUUAGUAGUGGCGAGCGAACGCGGACCAGGCCUGGUCUGAAACAAGGAGAAGUAUCUGGGAAGGUACGCCAUAGUGGGUGAUAGCCCCGUAUCCGUAACAUGAAGACCUUUUAGAGUAGGGCGGGACACGUGAAAUCCUGUCUGAACAUGGGGGGACCACCCUCCAAGCCUAAGUACUCCUUACCGACCGAUAGUGAACAAGUACCGUGAGGGAAUGAUGAAAAGAACCCCGAUGAGGGGAGUGAAACAGAUCCUGAAACCGGAUGCCUACAAGCUGAUGGAGCUCUUCGGAGUGACAUCGUACCUUUUGUAUAAUGGGUCAGCGACUUAGUGUUGCGUGCAAGCUUAAGCCGUUAGGUGUAGGCACAGCGAAAGCGAGUCUGAAUAGGGCGACCGAGUACGUAGCAUUAGACCCGAAGGCAGAUGAUCUAGAUAUGGGCAGGCUGAAGGUGCGGUAACACGCACUGGAGGGCCGAACCGUUGAACGUUGAAAAGUUCUCGGAUGACCUGUGUCUAGGGGUGAAAGGCCAAUCAAAUCUGCUGAUAGCUGGUUCUCCGCGAAAUCUAUUUAGGUAGAGCGUCACGAUUAGACUCUGGGGGGUAGAGCACUGAAUGGGCUAGGGGUCCUCACCGGAUUACCAAACCUUCUCAAACUCCGAAUACCCAGAAGUUAUGCGUGGCAGACACACGGCGGGUGCUAACGUCCGUCGUGAAAAGGGAAACAACCCAGACCGCCAAUUAAGGCCCCCAAGUAAUAGCUAAGUGCGAAACGAUGUGGAGGUGCUGAGACAAUCAGGAGGUUGGCUUAGAAGCAGCCAUCCUUUAAAGAAAGCGUAACAGCUCACUGAUCAAGCGCCUCUGCGCGGAAAAUGUAUCGGGACUAAAGUUAUUCGCCGAAAUUGCGGACUCGAAAGAGUGGUAGCGGAGCGUUCCGUAAGCCUGCGAAGGUGACCUGCGAGGGUUGCUGGAGGUAUCGGAAGUGAGAAUGCUGACAUGAGUAGCGACAAACAGGGUGAGAGACCCUGUCGCCGAAAGACCAAGGGUUCCUGCGUAAAGCUAAUCUGCGCAGGGUUAGCCGGCCCCUAAGGUAAGGCCGAAAGGCGUAGCCGAUGGGAACCACGUUAAUAUUCGUGGGCCAAGGGAUGAGUGACGGAUUUCGAAAGUUGUAGCCCCUUAUUGGAUUGGGUCUGCAGCCUGGAAGUUCCUGGAAAUAGCCUCCCAUUAAGACCGUACCCGAAACCGACACAGGUGGUCAGGUAGAGCAUACCAAGGCGCUUGAGAGAACUAUGUUGAAGGAACUCGGCAAAUUACCUCCGUAACUUCGGGAGAAGGAGGCCUCACAUUGGGCAACCAGUGCUGAGGGGCACAAAACUGGGGGUUGCGACUGUUUAUCAAAAACACAGGGCUCUGCGAAGCCGCAAGGCGACGUAUAGGGUCUGACGCCUGCCCGGUGCCGGAAGGUUAAAAGGAGAGGUGAGAGCCUUGAAUUGAAGCCCCGGUGAACGGCGGCCGUAACUAUAACGGUCCUAAGGUAGCGAAAUUCCUUGUCGGGUAAGUUCCGACCUGCACGAAUGGCGUAACGACUUCCCCAC